This 2241-nucleotide ribosomal RNA is filed under the name Klebsiella pneumoniae. RNAcentral describes it as "bacterial LSU rRNA". It matches the Rfam family "Bacterial large subunit ribosomal RNA", at positions 719 to 2925 of the family's 2925-position model. The record is from RNAcentral. Lineage: Bacteria; Pseudomonadati; Pseudomonadota; Gammaproteobacteria; Enterobacterales; Enterobacteriaceae.
AACCCGGUGAUCUAGCCAUGGGCAGGUUGAAGGUUGGGUAACACUAACUGGAGGACCGAACCGACUAAUGUUGAAAAAUUAGCGGAUGACUUGUGGCUGGGGGUGAAAGGCCAAUCAAACCGGGAGAUAGCUGGUUCUCCCCGAAAGCUAUUUAGGUAGCGCCUCGUGAAUUCAUCUUCGGGGGUAGAGCACUGUUUCGGCUAGGGGGUCAUCCCGACUUACCAACCCGAUGCAAACUACGAAUACCGAAGAAUGUUAUCACGGGAGACACACGGCGGGUGCUAACGUCCGUCGUGAAGAGGGAAACAACCCAGACCGCCAGCUAAGGUCCCAAAGUCAUGGUUAAGUGGGAAACGAUGUGGGAAGGCACAGACAGCCAGGAUGUUGGCUUAGAAGCAGCCAUCAUUUAAAGAAAGCGUAAUAGCUCACUGGUCGAGUCGGCCUGCGCGGAAGAUGUAACGGGGCUAAACCAUGCACCGAAGCUGCGGCAGCGACACUAUGUGUUGUUGGGUAGGGGAGCGUUCUGUAAGCCUGCGAAGGUGUGCUGUGAGGCAUGCUGGAGGUAUCAGAAGUGCGAAUGCUGACAUAAGUAACGAUAAAGCGGGUGAAAAGCCCGCUCGCCGGAAGACCAAGGGUUCCUGUCCAACGUUAAUCGGGGCAGGGUGAGUCGACCCCUAAGGCGAGGCCGAAAGGCGUAGUCGAUGGGAAACAGGUUAAUAUUCCUGUACUUGGUGUUACUGCGAAGGGGGGACGGAGAAGGCUAUGUUAGCCGGGCGACGGUUGUCCCGGUUUAAGCAUGUAGGCUGGUUGUCCAGGCAAAUCCGGAUAAUCAAGGCUGAGGUGUGAUGACGAGGCACUACGGUGCUGAAGUAACAAAUGCCCUGCUUCCAGGAAAAGCCUCUAAGCAUCAGGUAACAUCAAAUCGUACCCCAAACCGACACAGGUGGUCAGGUAGAGAAUACCAAGGCGCUUGAGAGAACUCGGGUGAAGGAACUAGGCAAAAUGGUGCCGUAACUUCGGGAGAAGGCACGCUGGUGUGUAGGUGAAGUCCCUGCGGAUGGAGCUGAGACCAGUCGAAGAUACCAGCUGGCUGCAACUGUUUAUUAAAAACACAGCACUGUGCAAACACGAAAGUGGACGUAUACGGUGUGACGCCUGCCCGGUGCCGGAAGGUUAAUUGAUGGGGUUAUCCGUAAGGAGAAGCUCUUGAUCGAAGCCCCGGUAAACGGCGGCCGUAACUAUAACGGUCCUAAGGUAGCGAAAUUCCUUGUCGGGUAAGUUCCGACCUGCACGAAUGGCGUAAUGAUGGCCAGGCUGUCUCCACCCGAGACUCAGUGAAAUUGAACUCGCUGUGAAGAUGCAGUGUACCCGCGGCAAGACGGAAAGACCCCGUGAACCUUUACUAUAGCUUGACACUGAACAUUGAGCCUUGAUGUGUAGGAUAGGUGGGAGGCUUUGAAGCGUGGACGCCAGUCUGCGUGGAGCCAACCUUGAAAUACCACCCUUUAAUGUUUGAUGUUCUAACGUUGGCCCCUUACCGGGGUUGCGGACAGUGUCUGGUGGGUAGUUUGACUGGGGCGGUCUCCUCCCAAAGCGUAACGGAGGAGCACGAAGGUUAGCUAAUCCUGGUCGGACAUCAGGAGGUUAGUGCAAUGGCAUAAGCUAGCUUGACUGCGAGCGUGACGGCGCGAGCAGGUGCGAAAGCAGGUCAUAGUGAUCCGGUGGUUCUGAAUGGAAGGGCCAUCGCUCAACGGAUAAAAGGUACUCCGGGGAUAACAGGCUGAUACCGCCCAAGAGUUCAUAUCGACGGCGGUGUUUGGCACCUCGAUGUCGGCUCAUCACAUCCUGGGGCUGAAGUAGGUCCCAAGGGUAUGGCUGUUCGCCAUUUAAAGUGGUACGCGAGCUGGGUUUAGAACGUCGUGAGACAGUUCGGUCCCUAUCUGCCGUGGGCGCUGGAGAAUUGAGGGGGGCUGCUCCUAGUACGAGAGGACCGGAGUGGACGCAUCACUGGUGUUCGGGUUGUCAUGCCAAUGGCACUGCCCGGUAGCUAAAUGCGGAAGAGAUAAGUGCUGAAAGCAUCUAAGCACGAAACUUGCCCCGAGAUGAGUUCUCCCUGAGACUUUAAGUCUCCUGAAGGAACGUUGAAGACGACGACGUUGAUAGGCCGGGUGUGUAAGCGCAGCGAUGCGUUGAGCUAACCGGUACUAAUGAACCGUGAGGCUUAACCUUACAACGCCGAAG